RNAcentral lists this unclassified non-coding RNA (223 nucleotides) under fungal sp. Its description in RNAcentral is "partial internal transcribed spacer region". The stretch from base 1 to 46 matches the Rfam family "Eukaryotic small subunit ribosomal RNA", at positions 1786 to 1831 of the family's 1831-position model. The record is from RNAcentral. Lineage: Eukaryota; Fungi.
AAGUCGUAACAAGGUCUCCGUUGGUGAACCAGCGGAGGGAUCAUUACUGAGUUACUACUCUUAACCCUUGUGAACAUUACUUGUGUUGCUUCGGCAGAUUUUCCCUGGGAGGGAAUUUGGCCUUCAGUGGUAAUCUGCCAGAGGCCUUUAAACUCGAACUUUCCUAUUUUCUGAGGACAUUUUAAAAGAUUAAAAACUUUCAGCAACGGAUCUCUUGGUUCUG